RNAcentral lists this ribosomal RNA (444 nucleotides) under uncultured bacterium. RNAcentral's name for it is "partial 16S ribosomal RNA". It matches the Rfam family "Bacterial small subunit ribosomal RNA", at positions 354 to 796 of the family's 1533-position model. The record is from RNAcentral.
GUAGGGAAUAUUGGGCAAUGGUCGGAAGACUGACCCAGCCAUGCCGCGUGCAGGAAGACGGCCCUCUGGGUUGUAAACUGCUUUUAUCUGGGAAGAAAAAGGCCAUGCGUGGCAAAUUGCCGGUACCAGAUGAAUAAGCACCGGCUAACUCCGUGCCAGCAGCCGCGGUAAUACGGAGGGUGCGAGCGUUGUCCGGAUUUAUUGGGUUUAAAGGGUGCGUAGGCGGCUGAUUAAGUCAGCGGUGAAAGACUUCGGCUUAACCGGGGCAGUGCCGUUGAUACUGGUUGGCUUGAGUGUCGGAGGGGUACAUGGAAUUGAUGGUGUAGCGGUGAAAUGCAUAGAUACCAUCAGGAACACCGAUAGCGAAGGCAUUGUACUGGCCGACAACUGACGCUGAUGCACGAAAGUGUGGGGAUCGAACAGGAUUAGAAACCCCUGUAGUCC